AGCAGUAGCCACGGUAAUACGGAGGGUGCAAGCGUUAUCCGGAUUUAUUGGGUUUAAAGGGUCCGUAGGCGGAUCUGUAAGUCAGUGGUGAAAUCUCACAGCUUAACUGUGAAACUGCCAUUGAUACUGCAGGUCUUGAGUAAAUUUGAAGUGGCUGGAAUAAGUAGUGUAGCGGUGAAAUGCAUAGAUAUUACUUAGAACACCAAUUGCGAAGGCAGGUCACUAAGAUUUAACUGACGCUGAUGGACGAAAGCGUGGGGAGCGAACAGGAUUAGAUACCCCCGUAGUCCCUGUCUCUUAUAC
This 303-nucleotide ribosomal RNA is filed under the name uncultured bacterium. RNAcentral's name for it is "partial 16S ribosomal RNA". It matches the Rfam family "Bacterial small subunit ribosomal RNA", at positions 507 to 807 of the family's 1533-position model. The record is from RNAcentral.